RNAcentral lists this ribosomal RNA (467 nucleotides) under uncultured bacterium. Its description in RNAcentral is "partial 16S ribosomal RNA". It matches the Rfam family "Bacterial small subunit ribosomal RNA", at positions 28 to 507 of the family's 1533-position model. The record is from RNAcentral.
GACGAACGCUGGCGGCGUGCUUAACACAUGCAAGUCGAACGGAAAGGCCUCAGCUUGCUGGGGUACUCGAGUGGCGAACGGGUGAGUAACACGUGGGUGAUCUGCCUUGCACUCUGGGAUAAGCUUGGGAAACUGGGUCUAAUACCGGAUAUGAACUGCCUUUAGUGUGGUGGUUGGAAAGUUUUUUCGGUGCAGGAUGAGCUCGCGGCCUAUCAGCUUGUUGGUGGGGUAAUGGCCUACCAAGGCGUCGACGGGUAGCCGGCCUGAGAGGGUGUACGGCCACAUUGGGACUGAGAUACGGCCCAGACUCCUACGGGAGGCAGCAGUGGGGAAUAUUGCACAAUGGGCGGAAGCCUGAUGCAGCGACGCCGCGUGGGGGAUGACGGCCUUCGGGUUGUAAACUCCUUUCGACAGGGACGAAGCUUUUUGUGACGGUACCUGUAUAAGAAGCACCGGCUAACUACGUG